CGCAUCUGUGCAUGCAGCAUAUCAAUAAGCGGAGGAAAAGAAACUAACGAGGAUUCCCCUAGUAACGGCGAGUGAAGCGGGAAGAGCUCAAAUUUGAAAUCUUAAAGGGUUUCCCUUUACGAAUUGUAGUUUAAAGAAGUGUUUUCUGUUGAGGUUUUGGUAAAAGUUCUUUGGAAUAGGACAUCAUAGAGGGUGAGAAUCCCGUAUUUGACCUUUACUUUCAACUUUGUGAUACACUUUCAAAGAGUCGGAUUGUUUGGGAAUGCAGUCCAAAAUGGGUGGUAAAUUUCAUCUAAAGCUAAAUAUUGGCGAGAGACCGAUAGCGAACAAGUACCGUGAGGGAAAGAUGAAAAGAACUUUGAAAAGAGAGUUAAACAGUACGUGAAAUUGUCAAAAGGGAAGCGUUUGACACCAGUGUUGUUUUUCUGAAAAUCAAUUAAAGAACUGUUUAUGCUAAGUUGUUUAGACUUUAUCAGCUAACUGUUUAGUUUUGAGCUUUUCUUUAAUGCACUUUUCAGUUAACAAGUCAACAUCAAUUUCUUUUGCUGUAAAAAAGCUUGAGGAAGGUGGCUUGAGAUUCGUCUUAAGUGUUUAUAGCCUCUUGCCUAUGCAGUCGGAGAGAUUGAGGUCUGCAGCGUAGAUCCUUCGGGGCUAAAUGCAUUUGUGCUAAGUUAUAACAUUUUAUAGACAACUUGUUGACUAUGAUUUGUCUUGUAGCUUACUCGCUUAUGUUAUUUUACCUACGCUUAGGAUGUUGACAGCAGUAUAGACUGU
This 774-nucleotide ribosomal RNA is filed under the name uncultured Neocallimastigales. RNAcentral's name for it is "partial large subunit ribosomal RNA". It matches the Rfam family "Eukaryotic large subunit ribosomal RNA", at positions 26 to 637 of the family's 3401-position model. Lineage: Eukaryota; Fungi; Neocallimastigomycota; Neocallimastigomycetes; Neocallimastigales. The record is from RNAcentral.